UGGCAGCUCAAGGACAGAGCCUGGGACUUGUCCAGGCCUGCCCAAAAAUGAUAACUGUAACCUCCAACCAGUAAAUUCAAAGGUUACAUACCCUUACCCAAUCAUGUGAUGCCAAGGCUUGUACCACUCUGCUUGCGGUUUUUCCCUU
Molecule: non-coding RNA, 148 nt
Organism: Peromyscus maniculatus bairdii (prairie deer mouse)
Lineage: Eukaryota; Metazoa; Chordata; Mammalia; Rodentia; Cricetidae
Source: RefSeq, a predicted model, not a curated record